ACCGUCCAAAAUCCAUUGCUAAAUGCACACUCACAUACUGGUAUGUGAGGCUUUGUUAAGCCAUGCUUUUUAUCUGAUUUAUAGCCAAGUGUUUUGAUUGUAUCUCUUUGCUUAGAAAGGUAGCCCUACAGUCUGCUCGUCAUCCAGUGCCUCUUCCACUAGCUCUUAGGUCAUAGAUUCUAAUCAACUUUCUCUUUUGCCCUCCAGUAUUCAGAAAAUCGACCACAUUUUACCUUUGUUGAUGGGGCCACUAUUAUAAUUAAGUGGGAACAAUAAAUCCCACUCCCUUGGUCUUUCUUUUUUAUUCUUUGUACAUUCCUAAACUCCCCUUUAAUCUCACGUCUGUUAGAAAGAUCAAAAAAUCACUGAAUUGUUCUAUAACCUCCUUUCCUCGUUAUAUUGUCAUUCAAGAUUUGAAGAUGAGGAAGAUAAUGGGCAGAGGACAUGAGGCUAGUGGUUUUUUUCUUUGAUUCGCUAGCUCCUUCUCUUUCUUGCACUGUUGCUGCUAUACCACUUCAAAUCCGUUGCUGUCAUGGGCAUCCUUUGUUGGACAAGUUGGAUUCUUUACUUUGACUUUCUGUCCAGUGAGAGUCUUGUCAAAAGUGCCAUUGUGUUCUGUUUCCUGAGUUAAGAAACAGUGAUGACAUUAGGGCUCCGUCAAUUGCACCAUAUACAUUGCACUAGUACAGGUUCGAGUUGGACAUGCAUUGAGAGCAUAAGUUUGACUAUCGUCAGGGAAUUCCCAACCGCUUCUCGACAUCGGGGGUACAUCUUCAUGUAUACGACCUCCAAUUAGUUGACAGAAACAGUCGAGGGGUGACCAAUUGGAUGAAUUUCCAUAGGAUGUAUAUGGAUGUAUAGCAGGAUCGGAGAGAGCAUACCAUCCUAGUGGAGCUAGAGGAUGGUCCUUUGCGUUUGGACGACCCAUACUUCAGGUGGUAUAAGUCCAUCACAUGACGCUUCAUGGGUAGGACCGCAACUGUAUAUAUGAGCCUUUGCAGGCUGUCAUACUAGAGGAAGUAGAUCUGAUCUCUCCAAAUCCUGUAGUACAGGGAUUGGUGAGGUCUGGAUUGAGGAUUGUCCACAAGAAUGGACAACUGGAAAUGGGCCCAUGUACCUCAACCUCACCCACCUAGAUAAGGAGGUCGAGCUGUUCCAGUAUGAGGAGGACAUUGCUCUGCAUGUGGAUAGUGGUUCACGGAGCCGCUUUGAUGAGCUGCAUGUUGUAUAGAGUGAGCACGUGUUUGGCCCGUCAACACCAUAUGCAUAUUCGACAGGAGUUGAUAUUGCGGAGCCGUCCAGUAGCAAACCAUAUGUCAGAGAUGUUCCUUCAUCCCUGCUAGCCCUUCAGGUUUGCGUACCCCAUAUGACUCUCCUACCACCCCAUCCACAUCAUUCUUGUUGGACGAUAGUCUAGAUGUUGAGUACAUAGAUGCACCAGUCAUACCACCUCGUUCUCAUCCAACAUCAUUAUAUGAGCCAUCUUCCCAUCUGCUUCAUAUGGAUAAUGAUGCAGUACCUCAGGGUGGAGAUGGUUGACUUACAACACAACGGUAGGGCAGAAGACCGAAUGGAGAUGACUAGCAAGGAGAGGGCGGAUGCAAACGGAAACCAUCCUAACACUGGAGACCAUCUGUGUAUGGUAGUUUAGUAGUCAUUAUUGUGUAUGUACUUUAUGGCCUAUUUGUGUUGUACAUUAAUCUGAUUCUUAUGCUUUCAUGUGUAUGGCUUAAUUGCAUUAUUUCUGUAUAAUUGGGGAUGUUUAUUUGUUGUUCCCUAAUGUGUAUAUGUAAUUGGAAAUUACCGCAUGCAUAGUCUCAAUGUAUGAAGUCGUGUAUGAAAGUUGUGAAAA
Molecule: long non-coding RNA, 1852 nt
Organism: Malania oleifera
Lineage: Eukaryota; Viridiplantae; Streptophyta; Magnoliopsida; Santalales; Ximeniaceae
Exons: 4
Source: RefSeq, a predicted model, not a curated record